Molecule: unclassified non-coding RNA, 329 nt
Filed under: soil metagenome
Description: partial contains 5.8S ribosomal RNA, internal transcribed spacer 2, and large subunit ribosomal RNA
Rfam family: 5.8S ribosomal RNA (bases 1-120)
Source: RNAcentral
GAUGAAGAACGCAGCGAAAUGCGAUAAGUAGUGUGAAUUGCAGAAUUCAGUGAAUCAUCGAAUCUUUGAACGCACAUUGCGCCCCUUGGUAUUCCGGGGGGCAUGCCUGUUCGAGCGUCAUUACAACCCUCAAGCUCUGCUUGGUAUUGGGCCCCGCCAGUUCUGGCGGGCCCUAAAGUCAGUGGCGGUGCCUUCCGGCUCCGAGCGUAGUAAUUCUUCUCGCUCUGGAGACCCGGUUGUGUGCUUGCCAACAACCCCCAAUUUUUUAAGGUUGACCUCGGAUCAGGUAGGGAUACCCGCUGAACUUAAGCAUAUCAAUAAGCGGAGGA